CAACUUUUAGCAACGGAUCUCUUGGCUCUCGCAUCGAUGAAGAACGCAGCGAAAUGCGAUAAGUAAUGUGAAUUGCAGAAUUCAGUGAAUCAUCGAAUCUUUGAACGCACCUUGCGCUCCUUGGUAUUCCGAGGAGCAUGCCUGUUU
Molecule: ribosomal RNA, 147 nt
Filed under: Laccaria fraterna
Lineage: Eukaryota; Fungi; Basidiomycota; Agaricomycetes; Agaricales; Hydnangiaceae
Description: 5.8S ribosomal RNA
Rfam family: 5.8S ribosomal RNA
About the family: 5.8S ribosomal RNA (5.8S rRNA) is a component of the large subunit of the eukaryotic ribosome. It is transcribed by RNA polymerase I as part of the 45S precursor that also contains 18S and 28S rRNA. Functionally, it is thought that 5.8S rRNA may be involved in ribosome translocation.
Source: RNAcentral